GGACGAGCGCUGGCGGCGUGCUUAACACAUGCAAGUCGAGCGGUAAGGCCCUUUCGGGGGUACACGAGCGGCGAACGGGUGAGUAACACGUGGGUGACCUGCCCUCAGCUCUGGGAUAAGCCUGGGAAACCGGGUCUAAUACCGGAUAUGACUCCAUGACGCAUGUUGUGGGGUGGAAAGCCUUGUGCGGCUGAGGAUGGGCCCGCGGCCUAUCAGCUUGUUGGUGGGGUGAUGGCCUACCAAGGCGACGACGGGUAGCCGGCCUGAGAGGGCGACCGGCCACACUGGGACUGAGACACGGCCCAGACUCCUACGGGAGGCAGCAGUGGGGAAUCUUGCGCAAUGGGCGAAAGCCUGACGCAGCGACGCCGCGUGAGGGAUGACGG
This 386-nucleotide ribosomal RNA is filed under the name uncultured bacterium. RNAcentral's name for it is "bacterial SSU rRNA". It matches the Rfam family "Bacterial small subunit ribosomal RNA", at positions 27 to 414 of the family's 1533-position model. The record is from RNAcentral.